GCCUGGCUGGCUCAGUGGGUAGAGCAUAUGACUCCAGAUCUUGGGGUUGUGAGUUUGAGUCCCACACUGGGUA
RNAcentral lists this transfer RNA (73 nucleotides) under Mustela putorius furo (domestic ferret). It matches the Rfam family "tRNA". Rfam says of the family: Transfer RNA (tRNA) molecules are approximately 80 nucleotides in length. Their secondary structure includes four short double-helical elements and three loops (D, anti-codon, and T loops). Lineage: Eukaryota; Metazoa; Chordata; Mammalia; Carnivora; Mustelidae. The record is from Rfam by way of RNAcentral.